CAAAAAGAGAUAUACUUGCUCAC
Molecule: non-coding RNA, 23 nt
Filed under: Gossypium hirsutum (cotton)
Lineage: Eukaryota; Viridiplantae; Streptophyta; Magnoliopsida; Malvales; Malvaceae
Source: RNAcentral